AUGGCAUUCUCCUUGUGUGUGUGUGUGUAUAUAUGUAUAUGUGUACAUAUACAUGCAUUGACUGAAAUUUUAACUCCAAUAAAAAGUUGCAAGACAAAGUUAAGAAAAUAUUCAGACAGAGAAAAUGACAAAAAAAUAAAAAGCAUGUGGGACAGUUUUCCAAGUAUUGCCUGUAAGCUCUAAAUGCACCAUUUAUAGCCUUCUCUAAGACAAGGGAGAUGGGCCUUAUGAAUGUUUCUUCUUUGCCAGUUGGCAUGAAACUGGAGGAAAACUAGAGAAUGAAGUGUCUUUUCCUCCAGGCUCUAGUUUGCUCUUCUCCCUAGGUUCCUGUAGCACACACAGCUUCUACAGCACCCAGCCCCUGUAGAGUGUAGUAGCCCAGUGGUCAGCAGUACAUGGGACCUGCUUCACUUCCCCAGAACUCUCUUGUGUCAUUUUAUGUUGUGUUCUUGGGUAUGGAACCUCUCUGUGGAAGGCUACGUCAUGGCAGUGCAGAGCACAGACUGUGGUAAGUCCUGCUGGUGAAGCACCUCAGUGAACUUCUCUGAGGUGAAUGGUAAUUCAGUUAUCCAUGGUCACAUCCUUUCCAGUGGAAUCGAGAUCUACCUUAGAAGUAGGGGAGGGAUUUUCCCCUGGUGUUCUAUUAUAACCUUAGGGACUGUGGCCCUUACCUAUGCCUGCUAUUCUUAUAUUCUCUCGUGUUAUCUUUACCUUUUACUAGCUAAUUCCUCAUUACUACAAUAUCACAUUUUAAUUAAUAAUCUUCAUAUUAAAUGUUCCCUGUUAAAAUUACUGUGUGGGUACUGCCUCUUGGCUGGACCUAAUGGUUGUGGUAGGAGAUAAAAGAUAAGCAUAUUAAAGAACCAAUUUAGAAAGAAUAAUUAUAGGUAAUAGGUAUUACAGGUAUUUCUAAAAUACAAAUAAAUAAAAUUCCUUGAACUGAAAGAGAAAAGAGUUUCCAGAUUGAAAUUUUCCAGUAAGUGGCCAGAUUACAGAAAGAAAGGGAAAAGAAAAGAUCCUGAAAAGGCCACAGCAUCAUACAUUUUCAUGACUUGAAAUGAAAGGGUAAAUAGAAAUGUCUAAAAACUUCCAGUUUGGAUGGGGAAGACCAUCUUUAAAAAGAAAAAAUAAUCAGGAUAUAUCAAUCCUCUCAAAGACAAUGCAGAAUUGUUAGAAGACAAAGAGUAAUGUUUUUAAAAAUUUGACAGACAACAUUUCCAACCAGCUGAAUUAUAAACAUACAGUAAACAUGAAAGAAUAACUUCAGGUAAGUAAAGGUUUGUAAGUACUACUUCCCAUAUCUUUGUUUAGUAAGCUAUUGGGAGAUAUGCUCCUAUAAGGUUGAAGGACUAAAUAUUAAAGUGGGAGUAAUAAGAUCCAUGAAACACAUCUUCCAUUUUAGAAAAAUCUCAUAAGGAAAUCCUACAGUUAUAUUGGAAGGAAGUUCUAGAUGGAUCGUUUUAUAUCAGGCUCAGGGAACAAACUUUUCAAAAUAGAGCAAAAGAACAAGGUAAGAUAAGUCUGACACAUGGAGUUAAAAAAAUAACAACAAAAAAAAAACUGUAGAUGAUGUGAAAUGAUCAUUUAGUACUUAGUAUAUGUGAUGAUGUAUUAAAAAAUGAUGUGGCUGGGUCCAGGGGCUCACGCCUAUAAUACCAGCACUUUGGGAGGCCAAGGUGGGCGGAUCACUUGAGGUCAGGAGUUCAAGACCAGCCUGGCAACAUGAUGAAACCACAUUUCUCCUAAAAACACAAAGAAUUAGCCAGACAUGGUGGCAGGCACCUCUAAUCCCAGCUACUUGGGAGGCUGAGGCAGGAAAAUCUCUUGAACCCAGGAGGUGGAGGUUGAAGUGAGCCGAGAUCACACCAUCGCACUCCAGCCUAGGUGACAGAGCAAGACUCCAUCUCAAAAUAAAAAAAAAAAGAAAAAUGAUGUUAACCUAUAAAAUACUGUGAAAGUAAAGAUAGGCAAUUACUAACUCCACUAAAAUAUUCAAAAAUAUUUGAGGAACAAAAAGCAAAUUUUAUGUUCAUUUAUGUAAAUAUGACAAUAUGAACAUAUAUAUUUUAUUUUAAAUAAAACUGUAUUAUAAUUAUGCUUACUUUGUGGAAAGAUGUUAAGUGUGGAGAAAAACACGCCUAAGGUUGAUAAGUCAAACAAUAUUACCAGGCACAUAAACUUUUAGAAGUAUGCUGCUAAAUACUAGAAAAUAAUGCCAGCAUUGACUUUGAGAAAUGAGAUUCCUUUUGAGUAGCAGGAAUAAAGAAUGUGGUAUGGCAAUACUCUUUUUCGUCAUAAACCAUUCUGAUCACUCUUUCAAACCAUGGGUAUGUAUAUAUUUGGAUUAACUUACAAUAAAAAUCCAAACAAAUUUCCAUCAGGGAGGUAAAUGAGAUAAUGAAUGGAAGAAAUCAGCAAAGUGCUUAGCAGACAGUCAUCAUUCGAUGAGUGCUGGUUGUGAUAUAGUAAUUGUUGAGUAAAUUAGUUUGGGGAAAAAAACCCUACUAUUUAGCAUUAAAUGUGUAUUUUAUCUUCAAGUAAUGUAGUAUAGAAGAGGUAAAGCUUGACUUGACAGAGUAAGCAUAUCCAUUCCUGAUAUAAUUAUUUUCCGAUACGCAACAUUAGAUAGACGUUAUCACU
Papio anubis (olive baboon) is the source of this 2640-nucleotide long non-coding RNA. The record is from Ensembl. Lineage: Eukaryota; Metazoa; Chordata; Mammalia; Primates; Cercopithecidae.